UGGCUUAGUGUUCGAAAGAGAACCGUAACACAGGUGCCGCAUGGCUGUCGUCAGCUCGUGUCGUGAGAUGUUGGGUUAAGUCCCGCAACGAGCGCAACCCUUGUCAUUAGUUGCUACAUUCAGUUGGGCACUCUAAUGAGACUGCCGGUGACAAACCGGAGGAAGGUGGGGAUGACGUCAAGUCCUCAUGGCCCUUAUAGGUGGGGCUACACACGUCAUACAAUGGCUGGUACAAAGGGUUGCCAACCCGCGAGGGGGAGCUAAUCCCAUAAAACCAGUCGUAGUCCGGAUCGCAGUCUGCAACUCGACUGCGUGAAGUCGGAAUCGCUAGUAAUCGUGGAUCAGAAUGUCACGGUGAAUACGUUCCCGGGUCUUGUACACACCGCCCGUCACACCAUGGGAGCGGGUUCUGCCAGAAGUAGUUAGCUUAACCGCAAGGAGGGUGAUUACCACGGCAGG
RNAcentral lists this ribosomal RNA (459 nucleotides) under uncultured maize root bacterium Zmrc236. Its description in RNAcentral is "bacterial SSU rRNA". It matches the Rfam family "Bacterial small subunit ribosomal RNA", at positions 1005 to 1466 of the family's 1533-position model. The record is from RNAcentral.